AGAACGAACGCUGGCGGCAUGCCUAAUACAUGCAAGUCGAACGAACACUUCGGUGUUAGUGGCGCACGGGUGCGUAACGCGUGGGAAUCUGCCCUUGGGUUCGGAAUAACAGUUGGAGACGACUGCUAAUACCGGAUGAUAUCGAAAGAUCAAAGAUUUAUCGCCCAGGGAUGAGCCCGCGUAGGAUUAGCUAGUUGGUGAGGUAAAGGCUCACCAAGGCAACGAUCCUUAGCUGGUCUGAGAGGAUGAUCAGCCACACUGGGACUGAGACACGGCCCAGACUCCUACGGGAGGCAGCAGUAGGGAAUAUUGGACAAUGGGCGAAAGCCUGAUCCAGCAAUGCCGCGUGAGUGAUGAAGGCCUUAGGGUUGUAAAGCUCUUUACCCGAGAUGAUAAUGACAGUAUCGGAGAAUAAGCCCCGACUAACUCCGUGCCAGCAGCCGCGGU
RNAcentral lists this ribosomal RNA (447 nucleotides) under uncultured soil bacterium. Its description in RNAcentral is "bacterial SSU rRNA". It matches the Rfam family "Bacterial small subunit ribosomal RNA", at positions 26 to 521 of the family's 1533-position model. The record is from RNAcentral.